AAAUUGAAGAGUUUGAUCAUGGCUCAGAUUGAACGCUGGCGGCAGGCCUAACACAUGCAAGUCGAGCGGUAGCACAGAGAGCUUGCUCUCGGGUGACGAGCGGCGGACGGGUGAGUAAUGUCUGGGAAACUGCCUGAUGGAGGGGAUAACUACUGGAAACGGUAGCUAAUACCGCAUAACGUCGCAAGACCAAAGUGGGGGACCUUCGGGCCUCAUGCCAUCAGAUGUGCCCAGAUGGGAUUAGCUAGUAGGUGGGGUAACGGCUCACCUAGGCGACGAUCCCUAGCUGGUCUGAGAGGAUGACCAGCCACACUGGAACUGAGACACGGUCCAGACUCCUACGGGAGGCAGCAGUGGGGAAUAUUGCACAAUGGGCGCAAGCCUGAUGCAGCCAUGCCGCGUGUGUGAAGAAGGCCUUCGGGUUGUAAAGCACUUUCAGCGGGGAGGAAGGCGGUGAGGUUAAUAACCUCAUCGAUUGACGUUACCCGCAGAAGAAGCACCGGCUAACUCCGUGCCAGCAGCCGCGGUAAUACGGAGGGUGCAAGCGUUAAUCGGAAUUACUGGGCGUAAAGCGCACGCAGGCGGUCUGUCAAGUCGGAUGUGAAAUCCCCGGGCUCAACCUGGGAACUGCAUUCGAAACUGGCAGGCUAGAGUCUUGUAGAGGGGGUAGAAUUCCAGGUGUAGCGGUGAAAUGCGUAGAGAUCUGGAGGAAUACCGGUGGCGAAGGCGGCCCCUGGACAAAGACUGACGCUCAGGUGCGAAAGCGUGGGGAGCAAACAGGAUUAGAUACCCUGGUAGUCCACGCCGUAAACGAUGUCGAUUUGGAGGUUGUGCCCUUGAGGCGUGGCUUCCGGAGCUAACGCGUUAAAUCGACCGCCUGGGGAGUACGGCCGCAAGGUUAAAACUCAAAUGAAUUGACGGGGGCCCGCACAAGCGGUGGAGCAUGUGGUUUAAUUCGAUGCAACGCGAAGAACCUUACCUGGUCUUGACAUCCACAGAACUUUCCAGAGAUGGAUUGGUGCCUUCGGGAACUGUGAGACAGGUGCUGCAUGGCUGUCGUCAGCUCGUGUUGUGAAAUGUUGGGUUAAGUCCCGCAACGAGCGCAACCCUUAUCCUUUGUUGCCAGCGGUUCGGCCGGGAACUCAAAGGAGACUGCCAGUGAUAAACUGGAGGAAGGUGGGGAUGACGUCAAGUCAUCAUGGCCCUUACGACCAGGGCUACACACGUGCUACAAUGGCAUAUACAAAGAGAAGCGACCUCGCGAGAGCAAGCGGACCUCAUAAAGUAUGUCGUAGUCCGGAUUGGAGUCUGCAACUCGACUCCAUGAAGUCGGAAUCGCUAGUAAUCGUAGAUCAGAAUGCUACGGUGAAUACGUUCCCGGGCCUUGUACACACCGCCCGUCACACCAUGGGAGUGGGUUGCAAAAGAAGUAGGUAGCUUAACCUUCGGGAGGGCGCUUACCACUUUGUGAUUCAUGACUGGGGUGAAGUCGUAACAAGGUAACCGUAGGGGAACCUGCGGUUGGAUCACCUCCUUA
RNAcentral lists this ribosomal RNA (1537 nucleotides) under Klebsiella pneumoniae. RNAcentral describes it as "bacterial SSU rRNA". It matches the Rfam family "Bacterial small subunit ribosomal RNA". The record is from RNAcentral. Lineage: Bacteria; Pseudomonadati; Pseudomonadota; Gammaproteobacteria; Enterobacterales; Enterobacteriaceae.